AGACCUUCCAUUUCCCUGAUAAACAGAGUUGAAUUACUUAAGGCCUGAUAUACUUUUUAUUAAUAAAUAUAGUCAAUUCGGUUAUAAAGAUUAAAUGAGUCAAACACAAUGAAAAUAGGUGGUUUCCCAAGGAUUUGAUUAUAUUGGAUUAUAUUAGAACUCUAGUACGUCUUGCCAGUAGCCUGUGAAUUAGCAAAAUGUCCUAGGAAUGCAGUUUAAAGUUAUCAUAAUUAUCUGAAAUAUAGCUUUCAUUUUGCAUGGCUUUAUCAUAAUUUGUCAUAACAUUCAUGCCUCAUUUUUAAAAUAGAAGAACAAGUCUCUGUUAUAUAUUUCGAUAAAGAAAUUUUUCUUAACACAUGGGUCACUUUUUGUAGUUUACUUGUUUUACAUGAAGACUCUUACAAAGCUCAACUAGAGGCGUACAUUUGACAAGUUUAUUUAAUCUAGUUCUCAAGAAAGGCUGAGGCAGAAUGUCUCAGUCCCACAGAAGAGCUGUUCCUCACCCAGUUCUAGUGUCCUUAGGGCUCACGUGCACAGGCAGCUGGUCUCUCCCUGCUCC
Molecule: long non-coding RNA, 559 nt
Filed under: Bos taurus (domestic cattle)
Lineage: Eukaryota; Metazoa; Chordata; Mammalia; Artiodactyla; Bovidae
Description: long non-coding RNA NONBTAT000033
Source: RNAcentral